CGACGCAUUGAUGCACCAUGAUUGGGGACCCAAUGAAUUUUGUGCACACUGGACAUUGGCUCGGGUGAUGUGCAAAUGGGAAACAACCAGCUGGUGCAAUGCAGCGCAAAAAAGAGCAAAGGGGGCUAGAACAAGCCUGCCGACAAUCACAUGUUGACGGUUGUGCCGUCAGAGAUCAUAGAGAAUGUACACCUAGAGGAUGCAUUUGCCAGGUUCUUCCAAGCUAUCCUGAUACCAUCUCGUACUCCAUGCUGUUGUCUGCCAAUUCAGUUCUGGAGUGGUUAUUUUAAGUGUUAAGCAGAGAGUGGAAGACACAGAUCUUGCCAUUUAGGAGGUCUUAGUAUGUGCUACGUCUCAUGUCCAUGGUGCUCCUUUUAUUCAGGUCUUUUACCUUUCUCCAGGUGUCAGUGUCAUGCGUAUGAAGAUGAGUAUGUACCAGAGUGGUAGGACCUGUUAGUAAUCAAUACUUCCAACUGCAUUUACAACAGUUUUGAGUGUAAGGCUUCUGAUGAUGGCACUGCAUUUUUUAUAACCUUGUAGAUUGUCAAUUUUGUAAACAGUGCAUUUAUUUCCUGUUAAAAGUCCUUUCAUAGAACCUCAUGCUCAAAUUUUUGGAUGAAUAUACUAAAUGUCAAGAGAUGUGAUGUUGAGUGUUGUUAGGAGAGAACACGUCAGUAGAGGUACAAAAACUGUUAUUUAAUAAAUGGUGGUCCAUUGUGAAUGGACUGUAUGCACAAUUCCUAUCUGCACAAGUGAAAAACUUAGAAUUUUAAAAUUUUCUUUUAAUGUCAUUUUUAAAAUCUCUCUCUAUUCCCCAUUCCUGUACAUGCAGUGAGACCUUCUAGAAAAUCGUGGCACAAGAUUUUACCGAAAUUUAAUUUUAGUGCUCGUUAGAUUCUCAUACCAUAAAUUGAUUUAAGACUCGUUCAUUAUUUCUGCUGCAUUGUUUUAAAACCCUACUUUGCUAAUGUCUUUCUUUGGAGUGUGUCAUAUGUUAUGUAACUCCACCUACUAUAGUCUUCUUUGGGCAAUUACAUUGGUUUUUUUAUAUAAAGCUUUGGGGCUUCACAUUAAGGAGAUGGUAUUAUUUAGUUGCUAAGGGAGGGCACUGUUUCAUGAUAUUUUUUGUACAAAUAGUGAAUGAAUGUGCGAAUGCAAGUAGCAUUCAUUUUUUUUUUUUUUUUUUUUUUAUCUUU
Long non-coding RNA from Penaeus monodon (black tiger shrimp), 1196 nucleotides. RefSeq lists it as uncharacterized. The record is from RefSeq and is a predicted model, not a curated record. The transcript has 2 exons. NCBI's taxonomy places the organism in Eukaryota, Metazoa, Arthropoda, Malacostraca, Decapoda, Penaeidae.